This 695-nucleotide ribosomal RNA is filed under the name uncultured Gilliamella sp. Its description in RNAcentral is "bacterial SSU rRNA". It matches the Rfam family "Bacterial small subunit ribosomal RNA", at positions 662 to 1357 of the family's 1533-position model. Lineage: Bacteria; Pseudomonadati; Pseudomonadota; Gammaproteobacteria; Orbales; Orbaceae. The record is from RNAcentral.
UAGAAUUCCACGUGUAGCGGUGAAAUGCGUAAAGAUGUGGAGGAAUACCGGUGGCGAAGGCGGCCUUCUGGACAGAUACUGACGCUGAGAUGCGAAAGCGUGGGGAGCAAACAGGAUUAGAUACCCUGGUAGUCCACGCUGUAAACGAUGUCGAUUUGGAGUUUGUUGCCUAGAGUGAUGGGCUCCGAAGCUAACGCGAUAAAUCGACCGCCUGGGGAGUACGGCCGCAAGGUUAAAACUCAAAUGAAUUGACGGGGGCCCGCACAAGCGGUGGAGCAUGUGGUUUAAUUCGAUGCAACGCGAAGAACCUUACCUGGUCUUGACAUCCACAGAAUCUUGCAGAGAUGCGAGAGUGCCUUCGGGAACUGUGAGACAGGUGCUGCAUGGCUGUCGUCAGCUCGUGUUGUGAAAUGUUGGGUUAAGUCCCGCAACGAGCGCAACCCUUAUCCUUUGUUGCCAGCGAUUCGGUCGGGAACUCAAAGGAGACUGCCGUUGAUAAAGCGGUGGAAGGUGGGGACGACGUCAAGUCAUCAUGGCCCUUACGACCAGGGCUACACACGUGCUACAAUGGCGUAUACAAAGGGAGGCGACCUCGCGAGAGCAAGCGGACCUCAUAAAGUACGUCUAAGUCCGGAUUGGAGUCUGCAACUCGACUCCAUGAAGUCGGAAUCGCUAGUAAUCGUGAAUCAGAAUGU